UAAACUCAACUAUUAAAUGCGCCGAGUGUGCAUCAUUAGGUUCUAUAACAUAGUACCUAUAUACCUUUGAAUUCUUAGCAUAUCAAACAAAGAUGCAAUCAAUGCCCCUUUCUCUUUGAAUUCUAGCAUAUCCAAUAAAGAUGCAAUCAAUACCUUUUCUCAUAAUGUCUUUCGUUUAGGAUUUUGGAGGCGACAAUGAUAGCUCGGGGUUUCUUUGAUUAAGGUAAACCCACUCUUAACCUUCAGUUCAUCUCGUCUUCCUCCCUUUAUCCUAGAUUCGGUUGGAUUUGAUUUUGUAACAAGAGCGAUGAUUCUCUCUUAGCAGUCGAAAAUCCGAGGGCGAUGAAGGCCAGAAUCCGUCGCUGGCCAUGGAUUUUCCUCCGAUCUACUCUCUCAGCAUUUGACUGAAGAAUACGGAUGGUGAGUCGCUCAACUCUCCCUAAUCUUAAUCAUCUCUCGCUCGAAUGCUUAGAGGUUGGAUGAUGAUAUUAGUAAUGAUGCUUACUAGCCUCUGUACAGCAGCCUCCACUGCCCUUAUGUGGGUCUCCCGAUUCACAGUCGUCACCCUCUUUCUCCUGGAACCCUCAUCUGCGAAUUUCAUAGUCGCCGUUCCAUCCCAAAUUCAAUACUAAAUCGAAGAUCCCAGCUCUUGAUUGCCUUCGCCUCUCGACUCCAUCACAGUUGCAUCGGGACGCGAUCAUGCAUAGAUCGAUUCCCUCAUUUUAAGGUAAGCUCGGUUUCCCCCUCUGCUUGCAAUGAUUCUAAUUUGAACUAUGAUCUUUCUAACGAUCCUCGCCUCUUCUUUCCCAGUUCAGUUCGAUGUGGAAAUUCCGCCGGUAUCUUGGAGGGUCAAAGGCUUUACCAGCGACGCCAUGUCAGGUCUGAACUUGUACUCUCGUCAGUUUUUUUUAUUUAGAUUAAUCUUCUCUUUGAAGGAUUUUACGGUUAUUUCCCCAGGUGUGUAAAGAACACAGCGGGUUUGCUGUUCUAGUUGAUCAAGCGAUGUGUGCGGUUCUCAGUGAUCCUGAAAAAGAACAAGGUAAUGUAUUCUACGCUCUUCCUCUCCUCUCGAUUCCUAUCCCGAUGUAUCUAUGUAUCUCUGUUAUGAAUCCCUUCCUACCUUCUAAUUUUUCAAUAGGCUAUUCGAAGUGAAGAAGGCUGGUUAUGGACCAGAGGGAGCACGAGGAAUGGAGGACAACAAAACUUGAUGUCUGAGGGCUCCAUGAAAGUGAGGAAGGGGGGUCGAGAUUUAACUAGGGGGCGAAACUAGAAGGGCGGCCAGACAAGGUCAACAACACAGAGGUAAUACUCAAAAUUAUAAGCUCGGAUAGACAUGUGAUCGAGUAUUGCUUGUCCUUCUCAGCAACAAAGACUCGUGUGUAUUUUAUCGAGAUAAAAUUGGUCUACUUAGUCUUGAUUGGAAUGUCGAUUUGGCUGUUCAGGACAGGAGCAACUAAAGUGUGUUUGCAUCCAUGUUUUUUUCAUGGAAUAAAUAUACUAUCCUAUCUCAUUAAAGAAUCUAUGAUUACCAUGAUUCAUGUAUGCAGGCUAGGACUCGUAAAACCAAUGUUAUUCAAUUGGGCAUUCAUGAGUUGGCAUUAACCCAUCAUAUGUAUUUGCCAAACAAUCUGAAUUGCAUGUUUUGAUAUGACCAUCGUGGUGAAGAGCGAAGCUGGACCAAGAGAAGAUGAAGGACCAGGAUCGAGAACCUAGAAUCAUCAUGAAAGACCAACACAAAAAGAAGAAACAUAGAAAAUAGUACACAAUAAUAGUCAAAGGGAGUCCACAAUUUCCAAACAAGCAUCCAAAAUAACAAACAUCCACAAACUGUCAUAAAACACAACACAACACAAGUCUAGUCACACAAAAGAAACACAAACAAACCAUCAAGUCUAAAAAAAAGAGAGAGAGACAAAGGAACAUCACUCGAACAAUGGUGGAGGUGGUGGUGGCUGCUAGGAUGGGAAAUGGGGAUAAUACCCAUAGUAGCUUACCUCCGCGCUCAGAUGGUGGUAAUACCAUUGAUGUCCAUCUCUCGAAUCUUGGAAGUGGUCUUGUGGUGGGGGAGAGUAGUCGGGAUAGUGUUGAGGAAGUAAGAGUACACGUUCUGAUAUUUGGCCAUGUGGCCAGUCUGCCAACCCUACUUCUGUUGGAUCCAGUGCAUCUCCAUCUAUACUAUCUGAAUCUACUCCCCAACCCUCUAGAAAUUGCUACUCGUCUCACCUCUAAAGGCAUCAAAGUCGCUUCAUAACCCACUCAUAUCCUGUCUGAUGUACCCCAACUGCUCAUCAUGUGACUUCCUGAACUACUUAUCUCUCUGUGCCUCAUACUGAGCUCUCUCAUCAGAACACUAUUGAUGGAUAGCAAGAUGCUCCAUGACAGCCUGCAGAUCGGACAAAUACCCGAGCUGAAGUUGCGGUGUCGAUCUCCUUAACAAGCAAGUCCUGAACUCCAUUCCUUAGUAAUUAAUCCGGGUAGAAGUCAUAAGGUGGAGUCUCGAAGAUGCCCAACACUCCAUAAUUACGGACUGACAAGCUAACAUACCCUCCUUUGUAUAGUACGACAUGCAUUGAGUAGCUCUUCAAUUGCUUGAAGAGAGUGAGAACCAAGUCUCCCAAAUGCAUAUCGAUCUUAUCCUAGCAAUAGAAGAUGUACAUGUCUCGGUUAGUGAGCGCACUUGGAGAGCUUGAAGACGAACGGUGCGAGAUACCGUGGCGAGCAAACAGAUGGAUGAGACGAAGCAUUGGCUUGUGGGUUCGCAGCGCCUUAAAGACCCCAACUACAAACUGAGGCGCGUCUUUGAUAAUGCUACACCAAAAACCCUGCACAUCAUAGAGGGGGAGUCCGGAAACCAUGGCAAGACAAGCCAGCUUACCAUUGUUCAGCUCCUCAUUUGAAUGGAACCUGAGCAUUACCCCAAACUCAUGUGGGAACACUGUGUACAGCCUCCCUCCCAAGCGGAAGGAGACCACCCUCUGAGAGGUGGAAGUGUAUCUCCCGAUGUCAAGUGUGUAGAAGAACUCACGAACCGCGCGAGGAUAUGAAUACUCCUUCACCAUCAUCGCCCUCCAAAUAUUCUUGGUCCUCUUGUAAUAGGAAUGAAAGGGGAACAAGCCUGCUAGUUAACUCCUCAAAAACUAAGUGCCCCUGUUUGGAAACAGAAAGGUGUUGGAGAGUCGCAUAGAGCUUCCAAGACAUAAAGCAUCAAUCGCGAGGUUUUACGGAUCGACGGGCUCAGUAGGAGCUUCAAACAUGUGGUACUGCUGAGGUGGAACUGCAGGUGAGGAAGUACCUUGAGUCGUUUGCCCUGAGGAAGAAGAAUUCUCAUUUCCACUAUGCCUCUUGUUACACUUGGUAGACUUACCUUUAGGAGACAUCCUGAAAAAUAGUCAGCAAAUGUAGACUGCAAAUUGGGAAACAGGAUUCGGGAUUUCCCGUUUCCGUUCCCGUAUUAUUGAAAAAAAACUCGGGAAUUCCCAUUCCCAUUACCAAACUCAAAAUUCGGGUUUGGUUGGGGAAUAAAAUUUCAUGUUCGGUUUUUUGGUUCGAUUCUGGGAUUCCCAAAAUCCCAAAGUUUCUUAUUAUUUUCUAUUAUCGACAAAAGAAAAAACAUCGUAUAAGAAAUGAUUGAUUCAUACGUUAGGGCAUAGCUCAUUUUCGCUUCAAGACUGAAAUUACGGUUCGUGAAACCGAGAGGCCGAGAGUCCCCAUGUCCCUCAAUGGUGAUUCCCGAUGAUUCCCUCGACGGUUCAACCCCUCCUCUCUAGGGUGGCGAUUCCCAGUCUAGACGUCGGAUUCUUCUUCUUUUGCUACGAUGAUUCCCAACGAUUCCCUCAUUGUUCUGGAAUCUGAUUUAAGGUGAGAACACAUCUCCAACCCACUAUGGGUUUUAUUGUGAGGUUUUGAUUGUUUCUUAUUUCUUUGCGUAACAGUGGUCAUCGUCGAUUUGUACAGGUGCGGCUGUUGAUUCUGCGAACACACCUCUACUACUUUCGUCGGUGAACAACAUUCAAUUGAG
This 4018-nucleotide long non-coding RNA is filed under the name Linum usitatissimum (flax). RNAcentral describes it as "long non-coding RNA (LUSI_LNC003024)". The record is from RNAcentral. Lineage: Eukaryota; Viridiplantae; Streptophyta; Magnoliopsida; Malpighiales; Linaceae.